UACGGAGGGGGCUAGCGUUGUUCGGAAUUACUGGGCGUAAAGCGCACGUAGGCGGCUUUGUAAGUUAGAGGUGAAAGCCCGGAGCUCAACUCCGGAAUUGCCUUUAAGACUGCAUCGCUAGAAUUGUGGAGAGGUGAGUGGAAUUCCGAGUGUAGAGGUGAAAUUCGUAGAUAUUCGGAGGAACACCAGUGGCGAAGGCGACUCACUGGACACAUAUUGACGCUGAGGUGCGAAAGCGUGGGGAGCAAACAGG
Molecule: ribosomal RNA, 253 nt
Filed under: uncultured bacterium
Lineage: Bacteria
Description: partial 16S ribosomal RNA
Rfam family: Bacterial small subunit ribosomal RNA
Source: RNAcentral